AUUGUACGCUGGCGGCAGGCUUUACACAUGCAAGUCGAACGGUAACAUAAAGAAGCUUGCUUCUUUGAUGACGAGUGGCUGACGGGUGAGUAAUGCUUGGGAAUUUAGCUUAUGGAGGGGGAUAACUACGGGAAACUGUAGCUAAUACCGCGUAAUAUCGAAAGAUUAAAGUGUGGGACCUUCGGGCCACAUGCCAUAGGAUGAGCCCAAGUGGGAUUAGGUAGUUGGUGAGGUAAAGGCUCACCAAGCCGACGAUCUCUAGCUGGUCUGAGAGGAUGACCAGCCACACUGGGACUGAGACACGGCCCAGACUCCUACGGGAGGCAGCAGUGGGGAAUAUUGCGCAAUGGGGGCAACCCUGACGCAGCCAUGCCGCGUGAAUGAAGAAGGCCUUCGGGUUGUAAAGUUCUUUCGGUAGCGAGGGAGCAUUUAGUUUAAUAGACUAGAUGAUUGACGUUAACUACAGAAGAA
This 471-nucleotide ribosomal RNA is filed under the name Streptococcus sp. oral taxon C14. Its description in RNAcentral is "bacterial SSU rRNA". It matches the Rfam family "Bacterial small subunit ribosomal RNA", at positions 30 to 489 of the family's 1533-position model. Lineage: Bacteria; Bacillati; Bacillota; Bacilli; Lactobacillales; Streptococcaceae. The record is from RNAcentral.